RNAcentral lists this ribosomal RNA (1376 nucleotides) under Staphylococcus saprophyticus. RNAcentral's name for it is "bacterial SSU rRNA". It matches the Rfam family "Bacterial small subunit ribosomal RNA", at positions 70 to 1430 of the family's 1533-position model. The record is from RNAcentral. Lineage: Bacteria; Bacillati; Bacillota; Bacilli; Caryophanales; Staphylococcaceae.
GAUAAGGAGCUUGCUCCUUUGACGUUAGCGGCGGACGGGUGAGUAACACGUGGGUAACCUACCUAUAAGACUGGGAUAACUUCGGGAAACCGGAGCUAAUACCGGAUAACAUUUGGAACCGCAUGGUUCUAAAGUGAAAGAUGGUUUUGCUAUCACUUAUAGAUGGACCCGCGCCGUAUUAGCUAGUUGGUAAGGUAACGGCUUACCAAGGCGACGAUACGUAGCCGACCUGAGAGGGUGAUCGGCCACACUGGAACUGAGACACGGUCCAGACUCCUACGGGAGGCAGCAGUAGGGAAUCUUCCGCAAUGGGCGAAAGCCUGACGGAGCAACGCCGCGUGAGUGAUGAAGGGUUUCGGCUCGUAAAACUCUGUUAUUAGGGAAGAACAAAUGUGUAAGUAACUGUGCACAUCUUGACGGUACCUAAUCAGAAAGCCACGGCUAACUACGUGCCAGCAGCCGCGGUAAUACGUAGGUGGCAAGCGUUAUCCGGAAUUAUUGGGCGUAAAGCGCGCGUAGGCGGUUUCUUAAGUCUGAUGUGAAAGCCCACGGCUCAACCGUGGAGGGUCAUUGGAAACUGGGAAACUUGAGUGCAGAAGAGGAAAGUGGAAUUCCAUGUGUAGCGGUGAAAUGCGCAGAGAUAUGGAGGAACACCAGUGGCGAAGGCGACUUUCUGGUCUGUAACUGACGCUGAUGUGCGAAAGCGUGGGGAUCAAACAGGAUUAGAUACCCUGGUAGUCCACGCCGUAAACGAUGAGUGCUAAGUGUUAGGGGGUUUCCGCCCCUUAGUGCUGCAGCUAACGCAUUAAGCACUCCGCCUGGGGAGUACGACCGCAAGGUUGAAACUCAAAGGAAUUGACGGGGACCCGCACAAGCGGUGGAGCAUGUGGUUUAAUUCGAAGCAACGCGAAGAACCUUACCAAAUCUUGACAUCCUUUGAAAACUCUAGAGAUAGAGCCUUCCCCUUCGGGGGACAAAGUGACAGGUGGUGCAUGGUUGUCGUCAGCUCGUGUCGUGAGAUGUUGGGUUAAGUCCCGCAACGAGCGCAACCCUUAAGCUUAGUUGCCAUCAUUAAGUUGGGCACUCUAGGUUGACUGCCGGUGACAAACCGGAGGAAGGUGGGGAUGACGUCAAAUCAUCAUGCCCCUUAUGAUUUGGGCUACACACGUGCUACAAUGGACAAUACAAAGGGCAGCUAAACCGCGAGGUCAUGCAAAUCCCAUAAAGUUGUUCUCAGUUCGGAUUGUAGUCUGCAACUCGACUACAUGAAGCUGGAAUCGCUAGUAAUCGUAGAUCAGCAUGCUACGGUGAAUACGUUCCCGGGUCUUGUACACACCGCCCGUCACACCACGAGAGUUUGUAACACCCGAAGCCGG